CUGUUGACCAGGUAUGCUGACAUGAAAAUGCUAGUGCAUUAAGGCUACCAAAUAGGACAGGCUGAGGCAGGCACACACACACACAAAAAAAAGGCCAGGAGGAGCCAAGGCCAGCAGUGAUAGGGCUGGGGGCGGGGUGCAGACUUUGGGUUGGGGAAUUACAGAAUGAGCAUCCCAAAGGCGGCCACCCCUCCCACUUUCAGUCUCCAUCCCUGCUCCACCCAAGACCCCAAGGGACUCAAAGAGGCGAAGAGGUGCAGGCAGCCAGGCGGGGUUGGGGUGCACCCGGUGCUCAGACGCAGGCGGCCCUACCCCUGGGCCCAUACCGCUCCCGCUUCGGCGGAACUUGCUGCAGCUCGAGUCUGGACACCUGGACCGUGCACUCACGGAGGUAGCCCCGACAGUGGGUGGGGUAACAGGAUUCUGGAUUCCUGGAGCUGGGGCUGGGGGCUAGAACUCCUGGUUCUCCGAAUGAAGACAGAGCUGAGGGCUCGGACCCCGAGUCCUGACAGAGGGUGAGGGGCCUGGAGUCCUGCCUUCUGGGAAAGGAGACUGGGGGUGGGAAGUUAGAUCUGGAGGGAAAAGGGGCAGUGGCUCUGAGCUCCUGGUUCAGGGCGGAGUCUCGCUGCCACCCCCCCCACCCCACCCCACCCCCCCCGACUCCCGGGUCCCAAGGGAGGGGGAGCCUGGGGCGGGUAGUCUGGUCCCAGGGGACGGGGAGCAGAGAGGUCUGUUCUGGCUCAAGGCUGGGGAGGUGCUGAGGGCCCAGAUACCUAGUUCUGAGGGUGCAGGGGGCUGGGGACCUGGACUUCUAGAUUUUGAGGGAAGGCGGUGGGGCUGGACUCCUGGGUCUGGAGGAGAAGGGAGCUGGGGUCCGGGCUCUGGGGUCUCGAUGGCGGAGGGGUCAGGAGCCCAGACCCGGGCCCGCUGAGCACCGGCUCCGUGUAGCUCCCUGGACGCUGGGGUCCGGUGUUCACCGUGUGACUGGGCCCGCGCCCUGCAGUGGUGCCGUGCAGCUACGCAGCGCAGCGGGACGCAUUAGUGCUGCAAGCGGAUGCCUUCUCCGGCCGCGGGGCCAGGGCAGCCUUCGAACGCUUCACACGCGGAAACGGCAUCGUGGCUUCUAACGGGCAGCGCUGGCGGACGCUGCGCAAUUUUGCACUUGGAGCACUUAAGGAGUUCGGCUUGGGUACGCGGACCAUCGAGGACCGUGUCCUGGAAGAGGCGCUUUGUCUGCUUGGCGAAUUUCAAGACAGCGUUGAACCGCUAUGGCUACGAGGACCCAGAGUUCCUGAGGCUCCUGGACCUCUUCAGUGACAACUUCUGCAUCAUGAGUUCCAGAUAGGGUGAGAAGAACCCGGAGAGCCAUUUCCAGGAGACACUGGUGAUGACGACGCAUAACCACUUCCUUGGCAGUACCGAGACCACAAGCACCAGCCUGCGCUACGGACUCCUCAUUCUGCUCAAAUACCCAGAGGUGGUAGGCUUCUGAGCUGGACAGCUAGGGAUGAGGCGGCUAGGGUUGUGGGUUGGCUGGAGGCUGGGGCAGUUCACAUGGCCGGCCCCAGCCAAAGCGCAGGAGUUGGAUCCCGUGGUAGGUCGAAUGUGCGCCCCAAGCCUGGAGGACUAAGAACGCCUGCCCUACACCGACGCCACGCUGCAGGAGAUCCAAAGCGUCUUCAGCGUGCUACCGCUGGAGCUGCCGCGUGCCCUCACCUGUGAGGCCCACCUGUGCAGUCACUUCCUGCCCAAGGUGGCCACCAAGACUGGGGAUCCUGCGCAGGGGCUGGGGAGGGCCUGUUAACAGAGAUCAGCAGGCCUAAGCGUCCAGAGCACUGACUCUGGGAGCAAGAAAGUAGGCGGCCUUCCUUGCCGCUGACUUCGAAAUGGGGUCUUGGAUGGAUGUGUGGAAUAGUCACUUGCAUAUUUUUCAAGUAACCCUUGCACAUCUCCCCAGGGCACCUUCAUGAUUCCUCUCCUUGUGUCUGCACACCAGGAUCUCACCCAAUUUAAGGACCCAGACUGUUUCAAUCCCACCAACUUCCUGAAUGACAAGGGAAAGCAAUAUGCCUGGGUGCAGGCCUGGCCCGAUCCGAGGUCUUCCUCACCUCCAUUCUACAGCAGUUCUGCCUGCUCCCUGUGGGGAGCCCCGCCAACAUCGACCUCACCCCACAGUGCACUGGCCUGGGCAACGUGCCCCCAGCCUUCCAACUCUGUCUGGUGGCCCGCUGAAGUCAGGUUCAGCCACCCUCUGCUCACUGGCUCUCAGACCUCCUUACCCUCUUUGGUCAAUAAAGGCCCUGAAUUGCA
Molecule: long non-coding RNA, 2310 nt
Organism: Aethalodelphis obliquidens (Pacific white-sided dolphin)
Lineage: Eukaryota; Metazoa; Chordata; Mammalia; Artiodactyla; Delphinidae
Exons: 5
Source: RefSeq, a predicted model, not a curated record